CCCGCCCGGCUCCCCCCUGCACACAGUGCCCAUUGUCUGCCCCAGACACUUUGAGGCUGCCGCUGCCCCCGGCCUCCGACACCGCCCCACACCCUCCUAUCGCCAGGUGGGGCUCCACGAGCCAGAGCGCCCCGUCCCCGUCCCCAGCCCCAAAGCGCCGCCAUGCCAGUUACCUUGGAGCCGAGCAGUGAUCAGAGAGGGAAGGCGACCUGCCCCAAGUCACACAGGCCAAACUCCAAAUCCCUGGACACCACCCCCACCUCCAGGAAGCCAACGCAGGAAGGAAGGAGCCUGCCAAGGCCACCCAGGGAGGAGCAACUGAGAUGAGGCCAGGCCGUGAGUCCCAGCCCACGCUCUCCACCUCCUGCAGGGAACAGCCCGGAACAGAGCAGGCCUGGUGGGCGGCACGGGGAGAACACCCAGGGGCAACGCGGCGUCCAAACAAAUCCCCGCAGCGAGGGUGUGUUCCUGGCCCACAAAGGCAGGGCCGGCUGUCAAAGUCUGUUCGCUCAUCCGGGUACCCAGGCCGAGGUCCGGGGGCGAGGCCACUGGGAGCUGGGAUGCAGGGCGAGGACAGCCCUCCGGGAGCUGGGAGCGUGUUCCAGAGAGACCCGCAGACGCAGAUGGGGUAGAUAAGGGCUCUGAUGGCAAAACAAAAAAACAAAAACAAACAAAACAACCCAGGGCUACGCUAUCCCGAAAGAGCAACCCCUCAGCGUGUCAACUUUCGAUACCGACCCCUAAAACGACAGCUUCCAAACCCCA
This is a long non-coding RNA of Felis catus (domestic cat), 765 nucleotides long. RefSeq lists it as uncharacterized. The record is from RefSeq and is a predicted model, not a curated record. The transcript is spliced from 2 exons. NCBI's taxonomy places the organism in Eukaryota, Metazoa, Chordata, Mammalia, Carnivora, Felidae.